GACGAACGCUGGCGGCGUGCUUAACACAUGCAAGUCGAACGGAAAGGCCCUGCUUGCAGGGUACUCGAGUGGCGAACGGGUGAGUAACACGUGGGUGAUCUGCCCUGCACUUCGGGAUAAGCCUGGGAAACUGGGUCUAAUACCGGAUAGGAGCCAUUUUUAGUGUGAUGGUUGGAAAGUUUUUUCGGUGUAGGAUGAGCUCGCGGCCUAUCAGCUUGUUGGUGGGGUAAUGGCCUACCAAGGCGGCGACGGGUAGCCGGCCUGAGGGGGUGGACGGCCACAUUGGGACUGAGAGAAGGCCCAGACUCCUACGGGAGGCAGAAGUGGGGAAGAUUGCACAAUGGGCGCAAGCCUGAUGCAGCGACGCCGCGGGGGGGAUGACGGCCUUCGGGUUGAAAACUCCUUUCGCUAGGGACGAAGCUUUUUGUGACGGUACCUAGAUAAGAAGCACCGGCUAACUACGUG
This 465-nucleotide ribosomal RNA is filed under the name uncultured bacterium. RNAcentral's name for it is "partial 16S ribosomal RNA". It matches the Rfam family "Bacterial small subunit ribosomal RNA", at positions 28 to 507 of the family's 1533-position model. The record is from RNAcentral.